RNAcentral lists this ribosomal RNA (533 nucleotides) under fungal endophyte sp. DM165. Its description in RNAcentral is "eukaryotic LSU rRNA". It matches the Rfam family "Eukaryotic large subunit ribosomal RNA", at positions 102 to 655 of the family's 3401-position model. Lineage: Eukaryota; Fungi. The record is from RNAcentral.
CAACAGCUCAAAUUUGAAAUCUGGCUCUUCGGGGCCCGAGUUGUAAUUUGCAGAGGAUGCUUUUGGCGCGGUGCCUUCCGAGUUCCCUGGAACGGGACGCCUUAGAGGGUGAGAGCCCCGUACGGUUGGACACCAAGCCUCUGUAAAGCUCCUUCGACGAGUCGAGUAGUUUGGGAAUGCUGCUCUAAAUGGGAGGUAAAUUUCUUCUAAAGCUAAAUAUUGGCCAGAGACCGAUAGCGCACAAGUAGAGUGAUCGAAAGAUGAAAAGCACUUUGAAAAGAGGGUUAAAUAGCACGUGAAAUUGUUGAAAGGGAAGCGUUUGCGACCAGACCUUUUCCUAGCGGAUCAUCCGGUGUUCUUCGCCGGUGCACUUCGCUAGGUCGAGGCCAGCAUCGGUUUCUGCCGGGGGAUAAAAGCCCAGGGAACGUAGCUCUUUCGGGAGUGUUAUAGCCCUCCGCAUAAUACCCUUGCGGGGACCGAGGACCGCGCUUUUUGCAAGGAUGCUGGCGUAAUGGUCGUCAACGACCCGUCUU